RNAcentral lists this ribosomal RNA (404 nucleotides) under uncultured bacterium. RNAcentral describes it as "bacterial SSU rRNA". It matches the Rfam family "Bacterial small subunit ribosomal RNA", at positions 355 to 776 of the family's 1533-position model. The record is from RNAcentral.
UAGGGAAUAUUAGAAAUGGACAAAAGUCUGAUCUAGCAACACCGCGUGUGCGAAGAAGGCCUUCGGGUUGUAAAGCACUUUUUGGAAGGAUUAGGAAGGAAUGUACUUCCAGAAUAAGUCUCGGCUAACUACGUGCCAGCAGCCGCGGUAGCACGUAGGAGGCAAACGUUAUCCGGAUUUACUGGGCGUAAAGCGCGUGUAGGUGGUUCUGUAAGUAGGGCGUGAAAGCUCCUGGCUCAACUGGGAGAGGCCGUUCUAAACUGCAGAGCUAGAGGAUGGUAGAGGGAGGUGGAAUUCCGGGUGUAGCGGUGGAAUGCGCAGAUAUCCGGAGGAACACCAGUGGCGAAAGCGGCCUCCUGGACCAUUCCUGACACUCAGACGCGAAAGCUAGGGUAGCAAACGGG